RNAcentral lists this long non-coding RNA (1887 nucleotides) under Sus scrofa (pig). RNAcentral describes it as "lncRNA (ENSSSCG00000044748.1)". The record is from RNAcentral. Lineage: Eukaryota; Metazoa; Chordata; Mammalia; Artiodactyla; Suidae.
GUUUAGAGAAGCCCUUUCAAUAUUUCCUUUAACCUGGGUUUUGUGUUGCUGUAUUCUUUAAGUUGUUGUUUGUUGGAAAAAAUUUUUAUUUCCCCUUCUAUUUUAAAUGAUGUUCUUGCUGGAUAGAGUAUUCUAGGUUGCAUAUUUUUUCCUUUUAGCACUUUAAAUAUCUCUUGCCAUUCCCUCCUGGCCUGUAGUAUUUCUGUAGAGAAAUCAGCUGAUAAUCUUAUGGGGGUUCCCUUGUAGGUAACAUUCUGUUUUUCUCUUGCUGCCUUUAGGAUCCUCUCUUUAUCACUAACUUUUGCCAUUUUUAUUACGAUGUGUCUUGGUGUGGGUCUAUUUGGGUUCAGUUUGUUUGGGGCCCUCUGUGUUUCUUGUAUCUUGAACCCAGUAUCCUUUAGAUUUGGGACGUUUCCAUCGAUAAUUUCUUCAAAUAUAUUUUCCAUCCCCUUAUCUUUUUCUACUCCUUCUGGAAUUCCUAUUAUGCGUAGAUUGGCCCGCUUUAUAUUAUCCCAUAGGUCUCUUAUAUUGCUUUCCAGUUUUUUGAUUCGGUUUUCUGUCUGUUGACCAGAUUGGGUGAUUUCCAUUAUUCUAUCUUCCAUAUCACUGAUUCGUUCUUCUGCAUUAUUUAUUCUGGUUUACUGUCCUUAGUUCAGUUUGCAUCUCUGCAAAUGAAUGUUCUAGUUUUCCUUGGCUCCUCCUUAUAUUUUCUAGUUCCUGUCUGAGGGUAUCUGCAUUACUGUCAUAUCUUCUCUUAAUUCCUUCAGUAUUUUCACUAUUUCUCUUUUGAACUCCAGGUCUGUCAGACUGCAGAGAUCAGUUUCAUUGUUGACUGUUUUAGGUGAGUUCUCCUGUUGGUUUGACUGGGGGUGGUUUCUCAGCUUCUUCAUCUUGCUUGUUGUUUUCUUUCUCCUGAGGGAGUUGUACUGUCCGUGAUCGGGCAGUGUUUGCCUUGUCACUGCCGUGGAAUAUUUCCUGAGGGCUGGCGUUGUUGGUCAAUCUUUUUUGAGGCAGUGUGGCUUUUCUGGAGUGUUGAUGGGGCUAACAGUGUUUCUUUGAAGCAAAGGAGGACUUCCUGAGGGCAGACAGGACUGGGAGGUCCACACCACGAUGGUAGCAGAUUUCACUUGGUCAUGCAGAGCUUGCUCUGGUGUUUUUAGGCUGUGGGUUCUUGCAGGGGGUUGGCGGUGUUGGGCAGCUGUUCCUCAGGAGUGCAGCACCCCCUGGGGGCUGGAGCAGCUAUCUGGGUCACUGAGAAUCUAAGAGGCUCUUCCCAAGGGCAGCCCAACUCAGAAGGACGGCCUGAGAAUGUAGGCGGAUCUUUUCACAGUCUGGCCAAGCUUGUUGCAGCUUUUCAGGGCUGCAGGGGCUCCUCCAGGGGGCUUGUGGUGCUGAGCAGCUAUUCCGCGGGAGUGGGGCACCCCCUGGGGGCUUGGGAGGGGCCACUAAAAACCCAAGGGGCUCCUCCCAGGGCAGCCCGACUCAGAAAAACCGUCCGAGAAUUAGGCAGAUCUAUUCACGGCCUGGCUAGGCUUGUUCUAGCUUUUCUGGGCUGCAGGCCUUUUCUCGGGGGCUUGUGAUGUUUGGUGCUGCUCUGUGGAAGUGUAGGCCCUCUAAAGGGGAAGCAGACCUGUGCAGGGACAGCCCCUGUGGUGGUAGGCUUCAGGCAAUUGUUGAGGCCAGCCCUCCUGGAUGGCAGGCAGCCCCAGGUUCGGGAGAGCGUAGGGGGUGGUGGGGGUGGGGGAGGGGAUGCACUGGGAAACACAGCUUUCAGCUAGCUAGCGGGCCUGUAAGCUUGCUGUGGCAUGGGGGGUAUUCUAUGGGGACCCACCCCUUCUUCUCUCCCCUCCCCAGCACGGGCACAGACCAGGCUCUUCUCCCAGGUUC